This 786-nucleotide long non-coding RNA is filed under the name Dromaius novaehollandiae (emu). RNAcentral's name for it is "lncRNA (ENSDNVG00000008516.1)". The record is from RNAcentral. Lineage: Eukaryota; Metazoa; Chordata; Aves; Casuariiformes; Dromaiidae.
CUUAACUCAGAGCUGACAUCCAUUGAAAUCAAAGUGGGAUAUGUUUCUUUACUCUGCUUUGUAUCAUGUUUAAGAGCAGUUCCCUGGAGCGAAAUGAGCUCUUCCAAGAAUGAUCUACACUCUGGUCCAAAAUGCAGGAAUUCUUAUGCAGGCACAGAGGAGCCCGAAGGUGAAAUUGAAGAUGUUAAAAACAGUGUGAUGUGGAAGCAGACUGAAUGAGAAAUUUUUCUUCCAAAUAACCUUUAUCUCCCACUGGCAUUGAAGUGUCUAGUUGCUCACUGCUACAGAAAAUGUUACUGUUUYUUCCCAAAUGAUCUCUCUGUUGUGUCACAUUCCAGAGAACUGAUGAUGAGUUUUACUGUCAGAAACUGAAGAAAGAAAGUAGGUCUCCUGGAAAUUAGAGCAAUUUUCUCACACUUCCUUUUCCCUUCUCACCUUAUUGUAUAUCUGUUUAACAAACAUUUUCUCUCAUCUCUAUUUAAAAUAUGUUUAUAUUUUAAUAUGGAAAAACCUCCUAGAUUUCACAUUUGAUACUUCAGGGCUCUACAAAGUAUUGCAAGUAAAGAGAACGUUUGAUAAAAAGCRUGUUUGGCAGUGUCCUCCAAGGAAGGGUUAGUAACACAAAGGACUGGUGCAGGAUGAUUUAUCAUUCAGGGGCUACUGCCAUCAGUGACAGCUCUGCCAUGAAGAGCGGUUCUUAGUGGUCUGCUCCACCUGAGGUGGCACAGAAAAAUGAGAGCGACUGGUGAAGCAUCUCUCCAUCGGCCUAAUCAGACCUUCUACAAG